UUAGAGUUUGAANCUGGCUCAGAUUGAACGCUAGCGGGAUGCCUUACACAUGCAAGUCGAACGGCAGCGCGGACUUCGGUCUGGCGGCGAGUGGCGAACGGGUGAGUAAUGUAUCGGAACGUGCCCAGUAGCGGGGGAUAACUACGCGAAAGCGUAGCUAAUACCGCAUACGCCCUACGGGGGAAAGCGGGGGACCUUCGGGCCUCGCACUAUUGGAGCGGCCGAUAUCGGAUUAGCUAGUUGGUGGGGUAACGGCUCACCAAGGCGACGAUCCGUAGCUGGUUUGAGAGGACGACCAGCCACACUGGGACUGAGACACGGCCCAGACUCCUACGGGGAGGCAGCUA
RNAcentral lists this ribosomal RNA (347 nucleotides) under Bordetella petrii. Its description in RNAcentral is "bacterial SSU rRNA". It matches the Rfam family "Bacterial small subunit ribosomal RNA", at positions 1 to 354 of the family's 1533-position model. The record is from RNAcentral. Lineage: Bacteria; Pseudomonadati; Pseudomonadota; Betaproteobacteria; Burkholderiales; Alcaligenaceae.